Molecule: long non-coding RNA, 630 nt
Organism: Cimex lectularius (bed bug)
Lineage: Eukaryota; Metazoa; Arthropoda; Insecta; Hemiptera; Cimicidae
Exons: 3
Source: RefSeq, a predicted model, not a curated record
AGAUGAUACGGUGGGUGUGGAAGAAUUCGUAGUCCAGUUCAUUUAAUUUAUUCAGACUCACUUAAAACAUGAGAUCCGGCGAUGUGGUGUAGGUGUAUAAGACACUUCCGAUUUACCAAUGCAGGUGUUGCGAUUGCGAUACUGAUUUGUGAUAUCACGCUGUGUGACUGUACGAGGCGUGGCCCUUGACGUCGCAUAGUUGUGCACACCCUACCAAAACGUGACAAGGCGUCGGGUAGCGUCGAAUAGCGUUGCACCGGGAUUCAUUCAGGAGGUUGUCAGCGAUUCAUUUUUAUUGUAAGUGAUUGCAAGUAGUGAGUACUUAUCAGAAGAUUAGUUAAGAGGGUGGAACAAAGCGUGCUGUUGGGGUAAGCAUGAUAACAGUAGAUUUCGUUUCCCCCUGGAAGGGAGGCGAACCUGUUAACAACGAUGGAGGGAGUGUUUUCCAGCUGGUAAUUUGGCCCCUCACAACAGCUUGCCCUCGACAAUAAAUUUCUGCUUGAUACUAAUUGGAGCCUUGAUUUCAAUGGAUCUGCGUCGAACAUGUAGGGUAAAUAAACGGAUUCACGGGCGAUUUGUGUACGUUUAAAGCGAAAGAUAAAUUUCAGUGGAACCAUCAUGUGCCGGAAG